GUCCAGCAGGGCAGGAGGAGCGACAGGUGUUCUCCAUCUGCCACAAUCAGCCAGCUCAGGAACAGGUGGAAUGCAACCAAUCAAGCUUCAUCCAUUCUGCAAUAUAACCAGACGCCUCCCAUCUCUCAGUGCCGGAUCAUGAUACAGCUCUUCCGGACCCACCUGUUCCUGCCGUUAACACUGGACCCUGGUUAUCACCUCAGAGAAAAGGAAACACUCACCUGUGCCGACUCCCUCCUCCUGGCGUCCUUCCCCACUCACCUGUCGCUGCUUCACGCCAUCCAGCAUCAGGCCCAAAGCCCGCUGCUCCAAACCCUGGCUGCCACCGCUGUGAACCACUUCUGAACAUUCCUAGUAUAAUUCGUGAGUUUGUAGUCCUGUCAUAGUUAUAGCUCUCGUUAAGAGCACCGUUAUUAGAGAAAACCUCAUUCGUAGUUAUUUUCCUUGAACCUCGUAGAAGUUGUUUAGUGUCUAGUUUAGUACUUCAGAGAUUGCUUUUCUUGCCUAGCUGUUACCUACCACGCGUUAACAUAAUUAUUUAGUCGAGUUACUGCACCUCCCGGCCACUAGUAGCCGCAGUAGAUUCGGAGCCUAUUGCUCUCUAUUUCCGUUUCCUGUUGUAGUCCUAGUUUUUGUUUGUAGUCCUAAAACCUUGUAAAUAAAAACUGUUGCGUUCAAA
This is a long non-coding RNA of Amphiprion ocellaris (clown anemonefish), 679 nucleotides long. RefSeq lists it as uncharacterized. The transcript has 2 exons. NCBI's taxonomy places the organism in Eukaryota, Metazoa, Chordata, Actinopteri, Pomacentridae. The record is from RefSeq and is a predicted model, not a curated record.